GUGGAUGAUGGUGGUUGUGGCUUAGGCGUGGAUGGUGGUGAUUUCUUAGGUGUUGGUGAUAGUUGCGGUUGUGGUUUGGGUGCUGGAGUUCUCAAAACUGGAGGAUUUCCCGAUGAUGAUCCUCCACAUUUCGCCUUACUGCAAUCAACCGGUUUGCUUACCACUGGAUGACAAGUUUUCUGUGGCUUUUGCUUAGGCCUGUCCGGUAAACAAUUACUUGUAUCAUCCCGAACGAUGUCCUUCCCACUUGGUUUUUCGCAUACUGGUGCCUCUCCAUUGAAAUAAUUAUAUGAAAAUGUGAAGUUCCCCAGGCUAGGCAAGCGACAAAUGCUUUCAGGAACAAAACCUGUCAACAUGUUGUGGGAAAUAUCAAAUCUCUCCAGCUUGCCAAGAUCUUUGAAAGACUUGGGCAAUACCCCACUAAAUGCAUUUGAAGAAACGUCAAGAACUGUCAAAUUUCCAAGCUUUCCAAUCUCAAAUGGUAAACAACCCGAAA
Molecule: unclassified non-coding RNA, 496 nt
Filed under: Hevea brasiliensis (rubber tree)
Lineage: Eukaryota; Viridiplantae; Streptophyta; Magnoliopsida; Malpighiales; Euphorbiaceae
Source: RNAcentral